This 208-nucleotide long non-coding RNA is filed under the name Nicotiana benthamiana. Its description in RNAcentral is "long non-coding RNA (NBEN_LNC000278)". The record is from RNAcentral. Lineage: Eukaryota; Viridiplantae; Streptophyta; Magnoliopsida; Solanales; Solanaceae.
CGUAGUAGUUAAUGAAUAAACAAUUAUCAUAGUUUACAUAUGUUAUCUAUUAUUGUGAUAUGUUUCAAAUUUUCUGCUUUAAGCUAGAAAAGCUAAGUAUCAAGCAAGUAUUUGUUAAAAUUAUAAUAUGCUUGAAAUAAAAUAAAAAAAAAAUUAUUAAACAGAAUGAUCAGUUUCAUUUUUGUAAUCCUUUCUAAUCUGCUCGGUG